Molecule: long non-coding RNA, 250 nt
Filed under: Arachis ipaensis
Lineage: Eukaryota; Viridiplantae; Streptophyta; Magnoliopsida; Fabales; Fabaceae
Description: long non-coding RNA (AIPA_LNC000812)
Source: RNAcentral
CUUAGCUCACAUGGCAUUCCGCCCCCUCCCCAUCCAAAAGGUCUCGGGCUCAACUCCUACCGACUGCAACCGAGGAAGAAAAAAAUGGUAAGUAUGUGAGGAGCGUGUGGGUGUGUGUGUUGUACCUAGGAUUGGGGGUUGUCCAAUCAAUUUGAGGUACCUAGGAUUGGAGGUUGUCCAAUCCACCCGACCAAAAAAAAAAAAAAAAAAAAAAGAGUGUAAAAAGAAGGAAUGGGAGGCCAUUUUUCUC